This 301-nucleotide ribosomal RNA is filed under the name uncultured bacterium. RNAcentral's name for it is "partial 16S ribosomal RNA". It matches the Rfam family "Bacterial small subunit ribosomal RNA", at positions 509 to 809 of the family's 1533-position model. The record is from RNAcentral.
CAGCCGCCGCGGUAAAACGUAGGUGGCAAGCGUUGUCCGGAAUUAUUGGGCGUAAAGGGCUCGCAGGCGGUUUCUUAAGUCUGAUGUGAAAGCCCCCGGCUCAACCGGGGAGGGUCAUUGGAAACUGGGAAACUUGAGUGCAGAAGAGGAGGGUGGAAUUCCACGUGUAGCGGUGAAAUGCGUAGAGAUGUGGAGGAACACCAGUGGCGAAGGCGACUCUCUGGUCUGUAACUGACGCUGAGGAGCGAAAGCGUGGGGAGCAAACAGGAUUAGAGACCCCCGUAGUCCCUGUCUCUUAUAU